This 578-nucleotide ribosomal RNA is filed under the name Trigonopterus cyclopensis. RNAcentral's name for it is "SSU rRNA". It matches the Rfam family "Eukaryotic small subunit ribosomal RNA", at positions 23 to 579 of the family's 1831-position model. Lineage: Eukaryota; Metazoa; Arthropoda; Insecta; Coleoptera; Curculionidae. The record is from RNAcentral.
GUCAUAUGCUUGUCUCAAAGAUUAAGCCAUGCAUGUCUCAGUACAAGCCAAAUUAAGGUGAAACCGCGAAAGGCUCAUUAAAUCAGUUAUGGUUCCUUAGAUCGUACCCACAAUUACUUGGAUAACUGUGGUAAUUCUAGAGCUAAUACAUGCAAACAGAACUCCGACCGGAGACGGGAGGAGUGCUUUUAUUAGAUCAAAACCAAUCGGUGGCGAGUUCGCUCGUCAUCGUACAACUUGGUGACUCUGAAUAACUUUACGCUGAUCGCACGGUCAUCGCACCGGCGACGCAUCUUUCAAAUGUCUGCCUUAUCAACUGUCGAUGGUAGGUUCUGCGCCUACCAUGGUUGUAACGGGUAACGGGGAAUCAGGGUUCGAUUCCGGAGAGGGAGCCUGAGAAACGGCUACCACAUCCAAGGAAGGCAGCAGGCGCGCAAAUUACCCACUCCCGGCACGGGGAGGUAGUGACGAAAAAUAACGAUACGGGACUCAUCCGAGGCCCCGUAAUCGGAAUGAGUACACUCUAAACCCUUUAACGAGGAUCAAUUGGAGGGCAAGUCUGGUGCCAGCAGCCGCGG